UACAUAGGGUCCAAGCGUUGUCCGGAUUUACUGGGCGUAAAGAGCGUGUAGGCGGUGAUACAAGUCAAACUUUAAAUGCUCUCGGCUUAACCAGAGUAUGAGUUUGAUACUGUUUCGCUGGAGAUUGGGAGAGGAAAGUGGAACUAACGGUGUAGCGGUGAAAUGCGUAGAUAUCGUUAGGAACACCCGUGGCGAAGGCGGCUUUCUGGACCAAUUCUGACGCUGAGACGCGAAAGCGUGGGGAG
This 245-nucleotide ribosomal RNA is filed under the name uncultured bacterium. RNAcentral's name for it is "partial 16S ribosomal RNA". It matches the Rfam family "Bacterial small subunit ribosomal RNA", at positions 524 to 768 of the family's 1533-position model. The record is from RNAcentral.